CAAUAGCGUAUAUUAAAGUUGUUGCAGUUAAAAAGCUCGUAGUUGGAUUUCUGGUCGGAAGCUCCUGUCCUCUGAUGAGCGUACAAGUGCGUCCUACCAUCCUUCUGUUAACCUUUAAGGCUUUCGCGGCUUUCUAGGGGUUCAGAUAUUUUACCUUGAGAAAAUUAGAGUGUUUCAGGCAGGCUAGCGCCGGAAUACAUUAGCAUGGAAUAAUGGAAUAGGACUUUUGCCUCUUCUGUUGGUCAUGAGGCUCGAGUAAUGAUUAAUAGGGAUAGUUGGGGGCAUUAGUACUUAACUGUCAGAGGUGAAAUUCUCGGAUUUGUUAAAGACUAACUUAUGCGAAAGCAUUUGCCAAGGAUGUUUUCAUUAA
RNAcentral lists this ribosomal RNA (370 nucleotides) under uncultured eukaryote. RNAcentral's name for it is "partial 18S ribosomal RNA". It matches the Rfam family "Eukaryotic small subunit ribosomal RNA", at positions 592 to 976 of the family's 1831-position model. The record is from RNAcentral.